ACGAACGCUGGCGGCAUGCCUAACACAUGCAAGUCGAACGAGACCUUCGGGUCUAGUGGCGCACGGGUGCGUAACGCGUGGGAACCUGCCCUUAGGUUCGGAAUAACUCCCCGAAAGGGGUGCUAAUACCGGAUAAUGUCUUCGGACCAAAGAUUUAUCGCCUUUGGAUGGGCCCGCGUUGGAUUAGCUAGUUGGUAGGGUAAAAGUCUACCAAGGCGACGAUCCAUAGCUGGUCUGAGAGGAUGAUCAGCCACACUGGGACUGAGACACGGCCCAGACUCCUACGGGAGGCAGCAGUGGGGAAUAUUGGACAAUGGGCGAAAGCCUGAUCCAGCAAUGCCGCGUGAGUGAUGAAGGCCUUAGGGUUGUAAAGCUCUUUUACCCGGGAUGAUAAUGACAGUACCGGGAGAAUAAGCUCCGGCUAACUCCGUG
Molecule: ribosomal RNA, 432 nt
Filed under: uncultured bacterium
Lineage: Bacteria
Description: partial 16S ribosomal RNA
Rfam family: Bacterial small subunit ribosomal RNA
Source: RNAcentral